UUUACUUGAAAAAGUAUCAGGCCUAUGAAUCGUCGUCUGCUAACCACACACCAACCUUCAUUGCGUGUGAUGGUGUUUCUUCAAAAGCCCUAACAGAUGAAACCAGGCUUCAUCAGAAAAGAACGACAAAUCGAGAAUCCCGUUAUCGUCCAUAUCAGCUUGAAACCAACUACAAUACCCAACGCGGCAAGGAAAAUCAGCUGGUUGCAGCUCCUGAACCGACAAAAUCUUGUAUGGAUGCAUAUGUAACUUCUCUUUUACGAUUUUCUGACAUGGGCUGUAUGGUACUCCGGACAGUAAAGAUUUUUGACAAA
Long non-coding RNA from Zophobas morio, 314 nucleotides. RefSeq lists it as uncharacterized. The record is from RefSeq and is a predicted model, not a curated record. The transcript has 2 exons. NCBI's taxonomy places the organism in Eukaryota, Metazoa, Arthropoda, Insecta, Coleoptera, Tenebrionidae.